CUUAGUGGCGGACGGGUGAGUAACGCGUGGGUAACCUGCCUCAUACAGGGGGAUAACAGUUGGAAACGGCUGCUAAUACCGCAUAAGCGCACAGUACCGCAUGGUACGGUGUGAAAAACUCCGGUGGUAUGAGAUGGACCCGCGUCUGAUUAGGUAGUUGGUGGGGUAACGGCCUACCAAGCCGACGAUCAGUAGCCGACCUGAGAGGGUGACCGGCCACAUUGGGACUGAGACACGGCCCAA
RNAcentral lists this ribosomal RNA (243 nucleotides) under uncultured bacterium. RNAcentral describes it as "partial 16S ribosomal RNA". It matches the Rfam family "Bacterial small subunit ribosomal RNA", at positions 91 to 334 of the family's 1533-position model. The record is from RNAcentral.